UGCAUCGAAUGGUAAAUAUCGAUGUUUUUCGAUACAUCGAUGUAUAUCGAGCAUCCCUAAUUUAAACCUCACUUAAUUUAAGCCGUCAAAUUUGGCGGCUUAAGAAAACUUAAAAAAGUGUGGUUUAAAUGGGUUUAAAUCGAGUUUGACAUAAGGUGCAACGAAAAUAUUUACUUUAAGCGGGCCUUAAUUUUAAGUUAGCCUUAAUCUAGUCGGUGCAAACGGCCCUUAGAUUCUUAGAUAUCUACAGUGCACGGAAUCCGGCCACCAAAUCGCACAACACUAGGUAUGCGGCCAUCGGCCAUUUUGUUUCGUUUUUGUGACCAUCAGUUCGAUGAAUUUUAAAGUUCCAUACUUACAGAGGCAGAGGCGUUAUCUGUGAAAAAAAAAAUGAAUUUAUAAUCAAAUGAGAGCAGAAGCGGUGCCAUCACAAGAGUCUGAAGACAUAUAAAUGGAUUUUUGGAUAUUAAGGAGAGCUUACCUCAUGACUGCAAACACGUCAUGGAGUUGGAUUUUCAACCUACCACAACAGGUUUUCUGCAAAAGAUGCAAUUUUAAGUUUGGUCUUUAUAAGGCAACAGGAUUAAAAAGCAGAAAUAGCCUUUUGUGUUUAGAAAAAAAAGAGACAUUAGCAAAUAGUAUUCAAAAUCUUGAUCUACUGUGUAAAUGUAGUAAUGUAGUCGGUUUGCUAAACUCAGACAACUGGCUAGUGAUUUUAGUAGGUAUUUUUUUGUUUUUUUGCCAAAAUUGGCCAAAUUACUAAGUAUUUAGUGUUUAUUAACUAUUUAGUAAUUAUUUUUUUGCUAAUUUUACCAAAUUGGCAAAAUUACUUGCUAAAAUCAUUAGUAGUGGAGUCACUGAAGGGUUUCAUCUCCGAUUUUGUUGAACCUCCAUCGAUUUUCAUGGAAAUUGGUGAGUAGUUAGAGGAUACCUCAACGAAUAAAGGUGACAUGAUGACAACUUGCGCUUUUACUCUGGGGGUGGAUGCCGCACCUUCUAGGGGGUAAAAAUUAUUUUAUUAAAAAUAAUACCAUAAAUCGAUAGAGGGACAAAUUCUAAGCAAAAUUGGUUAUAUAAAGUUAUUAAUAUUAAUCAAUACUUUUUGAGUUAUUAAGAGGAUCGGUACGUUUUUUCGGCUGCAAUGCUAUUCAAAUGGGGAUUCAUUUUUUUCGAAUUCUGAGAAAACUAAUAAGUAUUUAAAAAAAAAAUUAAACGCAGAAUGAAAGAUUACGUUAUUAGCGAGGGCCGAAAGUCCCUGAGAACUUCUAUAUUGUUUAUUUUAAUAAGUUACAGGGGUGAAAAACUAAGAGAAAAUUUAGUGUUAUUUUAAUUUCAAAUGUCUCAUUCAAAAUAAACUUUUUAUUUAUUCUAAGGGACUUUCGGCCCUCGGUAAUAAUUUAGUCUUUCAUUCUGCGUUUAGAUUUUUCAAAAAUAUUUAUUGGUUUUUUCAGGAUUCGAAAAAAAUGAACAGAUGUCCGUGGUAAUAUUUUCCAAAUCUAUCUUUGUCAUACAACGCACUUAGUCGAAUAGAAUAUUGUCAGUCAGACACUGACAAUCAGUGACAAUUUUAAAUAAUUAUUUGACAUGAAUCGGGAAUAUUUUUAGUUGUUCAUUAAAUCAUAUUGAUAUAUAGUGUAUUUGAUAAAUAAUUGAUUUAAGAGGUGAACUUUAUAAAAAGUUAUUUAUUGUGUAUUAUUUAUGGAAGAUACAAGCAGAGAAUACAUUAAGAUAUAUUCUGUGAAGAUGUACAAAAUUGUAAGCGUUCCAUAGUAACAAUAUAUUAUUAAAAAAUCACUUUAACACUUUUGCUCUUUUCUCGAUUGAGUAUUAGUUUUUGUUGUAGGUACAUAUUAUUACAAUCACUGAAUACAUAGCUAGUGAAAAAAUUAUCACAUUUAUUAACUGAAUUAAUAAUUUGCAAUUAUACAAAAAAUAACAGUUAUCCAAGAACAUUCAAAAGCCAUCUCUUUAAGCUAGUUAUGACAUUGACAAGUAGAAUGACAUUCUAGUAAUAUGUACAGCUGGUUCCAAAAAAAACUGAUACGACUCUUAAAGCGAAUUUUGUAGAAAAUUGAGCAGUGUACUUUCUUCUUCUUCGUCUUUUUGUUUUUGGUCUCGCUGCAAGGAAAUUACCAGCACGAUUUAUAGGCGAUCUUGAUGUAGUUUGGCUCUAAGCCAUAUCAAAAUCGCUGACUAUGUUCUUGUAAAAAGCUUUUGAUGAGGUGUGAGUUAUUGAAUAUGAGUUUAAUUAUGUUUAUUUAUUAUAUUUUCAAGGAUAAAUACUUAUUAUUUACAUACUGUCACUGUCACUGCCAAAUCUUAAAAUUUGUCAGAUAACUUCAACUUCAAAAAUUGCUGUUUGUUUGUUUUUUUUUAUGAUCUGUCUGUCAUAAUAAAUAUAAUAUAAUGUCAGACCAAUUAUACACUGCUCAACAUGAUCAAAUCUUACUAAUGCCCGGUUGCACCAACAGAUCUUAGGCUUAAGUCGAGAAUAUCAUAAGAAUUAAUAUAAUAUAAUUAUAAUAUAUUACAAUACGAAUACCAUAAUAUAAUAAUAGAUAUAAUUGAUAAUAAGAUAAGAAUCUAAAAUUAUGGUGCAACGUAAGUGAUACUCAAGGAGGCCCUAUCUAUAAGUAGAGCUUAGCUAAGCUGCAGCUUAAGAUCUGUUGGUGCAACCAGGCAUAAGAGUCGUAUCAGUUUUUUUAGGAACCAGCUGUACAUAUCGAUACCAGUGUGAAUUUUACUACACGUAAUUUGCCAUGUAAAGACAGAAAAGGUAGGGAUAGCCGUAAAAUAUUUGCGAAUUAUGUACCCAUAGCCUUAAAGAUCAAAGAUUUUAUUUUUCGUAAAAAGAUGCAUGUUUUAAAGCUAGCUGUUUUUAACUCAUAACUCAAAAACAAUGAGCCUUUACAAAAAACAUAAUUACCAUUAUUACCAAUAAAAAAAUGAAUACACUCCUUACUUAGAACUAAACUAAUGUUAAUUCCAAGUGAGCUAUGGGUAAUUGACUGUAUAUUUUUUCGAUGAGUAUCUACUCAUAUCUAAGUAUUCAAGCGUAAAUAACGGGAAAACGAUGCAUUUUAUAAAAUAUACCUGUUAACCUUUGUGUCUAUACCCAGGUACAUGGGUAUCAUUCAUAAUUGUUUUAUCUAAAUCAUUGGCGAUAGUAAAAAUAUUUUUAUUCCAGCUUCUAGUUAUUCCUAAAAUUAUUCAGAACGAAGAGAUUUAUAAUAAAAUCCAAAGAAAAAAAUGCAUAUAAUAUAUUAAAAAUACCUGUUAAAGUUUUUAUACCAUUAAGUCCACACCUGUGGCACCCAGGUAACAAUAAUGUUUAGUAAAUCAUGAAGCUGUGUCUAGUUUUUUUUAUAAUAAAAGUGAUAUAGAAACAUAAAUAAAAAUUACAUUUCAAACAUAUUGUUUGCACUUACUUAUUUUUACUGAGUGUUUGUUACAUAGUGAACGAUUACAAAGAUUACAUAAUUUUGGUGUCUUUUUUAGCCGUUUUUUCGGUAAAGACAUGCAAAUGUAGCAAUUUGAAACAAUUUUGAAGGGUCCAGUGUAAUCUUGGAGAGGUAAUGACUGCUGUAUUACUUGAAUCUGAAGGUAGAGGUUUUCCUAACAUGCACUCAAUUCCUGACCUGGAUGAAUAAUUUCGAUAUACAUUUGGCAGUUCAGAUCUAGCAUAAAUUGCAGGCAUCACUAGUUGUUUCCCUAAGUCUUGUAGAAAAAUUCUACGCUUACUAGUUUCAGUAGAACUCUGUGGAUUUGUAUUAUAGGUUGCUAGGCAAGCUACUUCUAGGAUAUGGUAAGGUAAAAGGAAGCUACUGGCCAACGCAAAGUUCUGCGUUUAGUGGAAUAUUGAGAAACCAUUUUGUCUACGCCUCCUUUAGUUUUAUUAUAGUACUGAAUUAUUUCAGGUUUAUUUUUUGACCCACUUAAAUUAUCGUUGUCAUUGUUGACAGCAAAAUAAGGUUUUUCCUUUUGUGGAACAUAAUGAACAAGUGGUAACAUGAUUGCACUGAAUCCAUAUAAUGAUGAUUCAGGCUCACGCUCUGGCGAAGGCAGCAUUUCUUGUAGAUUAUAAAUAUGGUUUGUUUCUUUUUGUUAUCAUUAGUUAGUACCCACUAAUGAUAAAUUUCAAGACAACAGGAGACGGGCUAGUGGAAGAGUUGUGAAAAAUUAUCCAUUUUUAUGUUUCAUCCAGAAUUUUUGUAUCUGUAACACAAAUCUUUUACUACGCGUUCACCUUUAGUAUUUUCACGUCCAGUUGAAUUUUUUCCAGUAUAUAUUUGUCUAGAAGUGGAUACGAAUUACCGUCAAGGGAAUUAUCGUCGAAACUAUGAGCGAAGUGUACCGAAACAAUGCCGGGUACCUGGGUAGCACGGGUAUAGACUACCGUAUCAGGUACUUGGGUAUAGACAUAACGGUUAAGCACUUGUCAAAGUACUUGGAAAUAUUUAUCAAAUGAGCUACAGAAGAAGUUAAUUGCAUCAAAAUUAAGCAAGUUGUGAUGAAAAUAAGAGAACCCUUUCGAAUUUUUUAGGAAAAAGUGAAAAAUAAAAACGCUAUUUCCAAAAAAAUUAAAAUUUAUAGUUUUCCUUUCAAGAAUUUCUUUGUAUUUAGCAUAAGUAAUGAUUUCAACAAUUUUGACCGGUUUAGAAUGCAUAUUUUUGAAAAAAGAUCUAAUUUAAAAAAAUCAGAAUUUUUAAAAUAAUCGUAUUUUCAUUUUUUUUUGAUAAUAACUCCAAAAAUACUGAAUGUAUGUAAAAAAUGAUGUACACUCACCGGCACGAAAAACGGGCACCCCAUAAAAUGGGCAAUUUUUGAUGACUCGUAUUUCCUAAACAUGUCCGAUUUAAGUGAUUUUUUAAUAUGUUAUAGGCUUGUUCUUUAUCAAUAUAGCUGUAAUAAUAUUGUUGCUAGACAGGUAAAUUUUCAUUAUAUACCGGGUGUACCAAUCAAACUGUUUUUUUUUUCUAAAAGUUCGGAACACCCUGUGGAAUAUUCUAGCAAUUAUAAAAUUCUCAAAUUAAAACUCAACUAUAGCCUCAGAUUUUCUUUACGUUUUGCUUUUUGAUUUAUUCGCUUAUGUGGGAUGAUAAAAAAGUUAGGUACUUUAACAACUAGCCAUGUUCUUCAUCAAUACAGGGUGUUUCUAAAUAAGUGCGACAAACUCUAAGGGGUAAUUCUACAUGAAAAAAUAACGACCGUUUGUUUUGUAAAUAUAUGUCCACAAAUGCUUCGUUUCCGAGAUACGGGUUAUUGAAUUUUUUCUUACAAACUGACGAUUUAUUUAUUGCUCUAAAACCGGUAGAGAUAUGCAAAUGAAAUUUGGUAUGUUUUAAGAGGCAGUUAUUGCGCAUUUUUUGGCGCACAAUUAAAAAUUUUAUAUUUACCAUUGGCGUGCAUACGGGUAACAUGACUGGGUAGUAUGACCCGUAUGCACGCCAAUGGUGAAUGUAAAAUUUUUAAUUGUACGUCAAAAAAUGCGUAAUAACUAACUCUUAAAACUUACCAAAUUUCAUUUGCAUACCUCAACCGGUUUUAGAGCAAUAAAUAAAUCGUCAAUUUGUACGAAAAAAUUCAACAUCCCUUAUCUCGGAAACGAAGCAUUUGCGUACAUAUGUUUAUAAAACAAACGGUCAUUAUUUUUUCAUGCAGAAUUACCCCUUAAAGUUUGUCGCACUUAUUUAGAAACACCCUGAAUUGAUGAAGUACAGGGCUAGUUGUUAAAGUACCUAACUUUUUUAUCCCAUAUAAACGAAUGAAUCAAAAAGCAGAAUGUUAAAAAAACCUGAGACUAUAGUUGGGUUUUGAUUUCAGAAUUUUAUAAAUGCUAGAAUAUUCCACAGGGUGUUUCGAACUUUUAGAAAAAAACAGUUUGAUUGGUACACCCGGUAUACAAUGAAGCAAAUUGGUACACCCGGUCGAGCAAAAAAUAUCAUAGCGAUAUUGUUAAAGAACAAGGCUAUAACAUAUUAAAAAAAUCACUUAAAUCGGACAACAGGUUUAGGAAAUACUAGCCAUCAAAAAUUACCCAUUUUGUGGGGUGCCCGUUUUUCGUGCCGGUGAGUGUAUAACCAAAUGUUAAGUUUUUGUCUGUAUCAAAUAUUUUACUUGUCUUACUAUUUUUGUAGGGUAAAAAAUAACCGAGAUACAAACGUUUAAAGCUUAAAUUUUGCUGUGAGUACCAUGUAACCGGGGCAAUUUAACCUUUUAUUUUAAAAAAAGUAAGGGGUUUAAAAGAUUUAAUUCAACGUGGUUUAAUAGCCCUUGGAAUUGUCUUUCAAAUGGUUUUCAGGUGAACCUGAUAUCUAAAAAUUGACAGUUAUAUUUAAAAAAAAAUCAACUUUUUUGGAAAAAUUUUUAAAAGAUACAUUUUGAAAAAUUUUUGGAGCAUAAAUUUUAAUGCUAUCAACUUGUUCAGAGGCUCAUUCGAUAGGUAUUUCUAAGUACUUUGACAAAUGUUUUAUAAGUUUUUUAUAAAAUGCAUUAUUUUCCCAUUAUUCAAGCUUGAAUACAUAGAUUUGGGUACUCACCGGAAAAAUAUACAUUCAAUUACAUAUAACUCACUUCCAGUUAGCACUAACAGGUCUUUCUAGUAAGGAGUUUAUUUAAUUUUUUGUAGCUUCACUUUUAGUAAUCAUAACUUUUUUGUUAAAACUUAAAGUUUUUGAGUUAUUUAUGAAAAAUCUGUUAAAAACAUUCGAGUUAAAUUCUUUGAUCUUUAAUAACUCAAAAAGUUUCGAUUUAUUUUAAUAACUUUAUAUAACAAAUUUUUCUUAGAAUUUGUCACUCUAUCGAAUUAUGGGGUUAUUUUUAAUAAAAUAAUUUUCACUCUCGAGAAGGGUUGGUAUCCACCUCCAGGGUAAAAGCGCAAGUUGGCAUCAUGUCAUCUUUGUUCCUUGAGAUAUCCUCUAACCACUCACCAAUUUUCAUGCAAAUCGUAAUAGCUCAUAUUCACCUUCAGUGACUGCACUAUAGCCAGUUGUAUCUGAGUUUAGCGAACCGACUACCCCCCCCCCCUCUAAGUAUGUACUCUUGAUAUUAAAUGUUGUGUUACUUUG
Molecule: long non-coding RNA, 7067 nt
Filed under: Diabrotica virgifera virgifera (western corn rootworm)
Lineage: Eukaryota; Metazoa; Arthropoda; Insecta; Coleoptera; Chrysomelidae
Description: uncharacterized LOC126891393
Source: RNAcentral